GUCGCAGCGAGAACGGGUUAAGUUUGCUUUAACUGUCAGCUAAGUGGCGCACGGGGGAGUAAUAUAUAGGUAACAUGCCUUCGAGAAGGAGAUAACGUUUGGAAACGAACGCUAAUACCCUAUAUGCCUUUAAGGCUUAAGUCUGCAAGGGAAAUAUUUAUAGCUCGAAGAUUGGCCUGUACAGUAUCAGUUAGUUGGUGGGGUAAUGGCUCACCAAGACAAUGACGCUUAACUGGUUUGAGAGGAUGAUCAGUCACACUGGAACUGAGACACGGUCCAGACUCCUACGGGAGGCAGCAGUGGGGAAUAUUGCACAAUGGACGAAAGUCUGAUGCAGCAACGCCGCGUGGAGGAUGACACAUUUCGGUGCGUAAACUCCUUUUAUAUAGGAAGAUAAUGACGGUACUAUAUGAAUAAGCACCGGCUAACUCCGUGCCAGCAGCCGCGGUAAUACGGAGGGUGCAAGCGUUACUCGGAAUCACUGGGCGUAAAGAGAAUGUAGGCGGGUAGAUAAGUCAGAAGUGAAAUCCAAUAGCUCAACUAUUGAACUGCUUUUGAAACUGUUUACCUAGAAUAUGGGAGAGGUAGAUGGAAUUUCUGGUGUAGGGGUAAAAUCCGUAGAGAUCAGAAGGAAUACCGAUUGCGAAGGCGAUCUACUGGAACAUUAUUGACGCUGAGAUUCGAAAGCGUGGGGA
Molecule: ribosomal RNA, 695 nt
Filed under: uncultured Arcobacter sp.
Lineage: Bacteria; Pseudomonadati; Campylobacterota; Epsilonproteobacteria; Campylobacterales; Arcobacteraceae
Description: bacterial SSU rRNA
Rfam family: Bacterial small subunit ribosomal RNA
Source: RNAcentral